RNAcentral lists this ribosomal RNA (447 nucleotides) under uncultured bacterium. RNAcentral describes it as "bacterial SSU rRNA". It matches the Rfam family "Bacterial small subunit ribosomal RNA", at positions 329 to 793 of the family's 1533-position model. The record is from RNAcentral.
GGCCAGACUCCUACGGGAGGCAGCAGUGGGGAAUAUUGCACAAUGGGGGGAACCCUGAUGCAGCGACGCCGCGUGGGUGAAGGAGUACUUCGGUACGUAAAGCCCUAUCAGCAGGAAAGAAAAUGACGGUACCUGACUAAGAAGCCCCGGCUAACUACGUGCCAGCAGCCGCGGUAAUACGUAGGGGGCAAGCGUUAUCCGGAUUUACUGGGUGUAAAGGGAGCGUAGACGGCUGUGCAAGUCUGAAGUGAAAGCCCGUGGCUCAACCGCGGAACUGCUUUGGAAACUGUAUAGCUUGAGUACUGGAGAGGCAGGCGGAAUUCCUAGUGUAGCGGUGAAAUGCGUAGAUAUUAGGAGGAACACCAGUGGCGAAGGCGGCCUGCUGGACAGAAACUGACGUUGAGGCUCGAAAGCGUGGGGAGCAAACAGGAUUAGAUACCCUUGUAG